AUCCUAUCCUGCCGAGAAAAGCCUCUAGUGAGUGUUGUGGCGGCCCGUACCCUAAACCGACUCAGGUGGUCAGGUAGAGAAUACCAAGGCGAUCGGGUGAACUGUGGUUAAGGAACUCGGCAAAUUGCCCCCGUAACUUCGGGAGAAGGGGGACCUCUGCUGGUGAUGGGCUUUACGUUCUGAGCUGGUGGGGGUCGCAGUGGCCAGGGGGAAGCGACUGUUUACUAAAAACACAGGUCCGUGCGAAGUCGUAAGACGAUGUAUACGGACUGACGCCUGCCCGGUGCCGGAACGUUAAGGGGACCGCUUAGCCAACGCGAGUUGGCGAAGGUGAGAACUUAAGCGCCGGUAAACGGCGGUGGUAACUAUAACCAUCCUAAGGUAGCGAAAUUCCUUGUCGGGUAAGUUCCGACCUGCACGAAUGGCGUAACGACUUCCCCGCUGUCUCAACCACAGACCCGGCGAAAUUGCACUACGAGUAAAGAUGCUCGUUUCGCGCAGCAGGACGGAAAGACCCCGGGACCUUCACUACAGCUUGACAUUGGCGUUUGGAACGUCUUGUGUAGGAUAGGUGGGAGACUGGGAAGCUGUCACGCUAGUGAUGGUGGAGUCAUUGGUGAAAUACCACUCUGGUCGUUUUGAACGUCUAACUCUGGUCCGUGAUCCGGAUCGGGGACAGUGUCUGGUGGGUAGUUUAACUGGGGCGGUUGCCUCCUAAAGAGUAACGGAGGCGCCCAAAGGUUCCCUCAGCCUGGUUGGCAAUCAGGUGUUGAGUGUAAGUGCACAAGGGAGCUUGACUGUGAGACUGACAGGUCGAGCAGGAGCGAAAGCUGGGACUAGUGAUCCGGCAUCGGCGUGUGAAAGCGGUGUCGCUCAACGGCUAAAAGGUACCCCGGGGAUAACAGGCUGAUCUUCCCCAAGAGUCCAUAUCGACGGGAUGGUUUGGCACCUCGAUGUCGGCUCGUCGCAUCCUGGGGCUGGAGUAGUCCCAAGGGUUGGGCUGUUCGCCCAUUAAAGCGGUACGCGAGCUGGGUUUAGAACGUCGCGAGACAGUUCGGUCCCUAUCCGCUGCGCGCGCAGGAGACUUGAAGGGGGCUGUCCCUAGUACGAGAGGACCGGGACGGACGAACCUCUGGUGUGCCAGUUGUACCGCCAGGUGCACGGCUGGUUGGCUACGUUCGGAAGGGAUAACCGCUGAAAGCAUCUAAGCGGGAAGCUCGCCUUGAGAUGAGGUCUCCCACCCCGUGAGGGGGUAAGGCUCCCGGUAGAUCACCGGGUUGAUAGGCCGGAGGUGGAAGCACGGUAACGUGUGGAGCUGACCGGUACUAAUAGGCCGAGGACUUGACCAC
Molecule: ribosomal RNA, 1349 nt
Filed under: metagenome
Description: bacterial LSU rRNA
Rfam family: Bacterial large subunit ribosomal RNA
Source: RNAcentral